AGAGUUUGAUCCUGGCUCAGAACGAACGCUGGCGGCGUGGAUUAGGCAUGCAAGUCGAACGGGAAAGUCCACUUCGGUGGAUGAGUAUAGUGGCGAACGGGUGAGUAAUACGUGAGCAACCUACCUUCCAGUAGGGGAUAAGGCCCGAAAGGCCGGUAAUACCGUAUACGUUCCUGUCACCGCAUGACGACAGGAGGAAAGCUGGGGAUCUUCGGACCUGGCGCUGGAAGAUGGGCUCGCGCUCUAUUAGCUUGUUGGUGAGGUAACGGCUCACCAAGGCUAUGAUGGAUAGCUGGUCUGAGAGGAUGGUCAGCCACACUGGGAUUGAGAUACGGCCCAGACUCCUACGGGAGGCAGCAGUCUAGAAGCUUCGGCAAUGGGCGAAAGCCUGACCGAGCGACGCCGCGUGUGCGAGGAAGGCCUUCGGGUCGUAAAGUACUUUCAGCGGGGAAGAACCACGCAGGGGCCAAUACCCCCUGCGCCUGACGGUACCCGCAGAAGAAGCUCCGGCUAACUCCGUGCCAGCAGCCGCGGUGAUACGGGGGGAGCAAGCGUUGUUCGGAUUUAUUGGGCGUAAAGGGCGCGUAGGCGGUUUGGUAAGUUCGGCGUGAAAUAUCCACGGCUCAACCGGGAUUCUGCGUCGAAUACUGCCGAACUUGAGUGCAGAAGAGGAGAGCGGAAUUUCCAGUGUACCGGUGAAAUGGGUAGAUAUCGGAAGGAACACCAGUGGCGAAGGCGGCUCUCUGGUCUGUUACUGACGCUCAGGCGCGAAAGCCAGGGGAGCGAACGGGAUUAGAUACCCCGGUAGUCCUGGCCGUAAACGAUGGGCACUAGGUGUGGGGAGGUAUCGACCCUUUCCGUGCUGCAGUUAACGCAUUAAGUGCCCCGCCUGGGGAGUACGACCGCAGGGUUGAAACUCAAAGGAAUUGACGGGUCCCCGCACAAGCGGUGGAGCGUGCGGCUUAAUUCGAUGCAACGCGAAGAACCUUACCAGGGCUUGACAUUACCGCAAGGUGCCUGGCCGCGGGUAAAUCCGUUGGUUUUAGGCAAACAGGUGCUGCAUGGCUGUCGUCAGCUCGUGUCGUGAGAUGUUGGGUUAAGUCCCGCAACGAGCGCAACCCUUAUCCUUUGUUACCAGCGGGUAAAGCCGGGGACUCUGAGGAGACUGCCGGUGAUAAACCGGAGGAAGGCGGGGAUGACGUCAAGUCAUCAUGGCCCUUAUGUCCUGGGCUGCACGCGCGCUACAAUGGCAGGUACAAAGGGUUGCGAAACCGCAAGGUGGAGCCAAUCCCAAAAAGCCUGUCUCAGUUCGGAUUGGGGUCUGCAACUCGACCCCAUGAAGUUGGAAUCGCUAGUAAUCGCGGAUCAGCUACGCCGCGGUGAAUACGUUCCCGGGGAUUGUACACACCGCCCGUCACGUGACCCGAGUCGGGUGCUCCCGAAGUCGCUCACCUAACCUUUCGAGGGUGGAGGUGCCGAAGGAGUGCCUGGUAAGGGGGACGAAGUCGUAACAAGGUA
This 1518-nucleotide ribosomal RNA is filed under the name metagenome. Its description in RNAcentral is "bacterial SSU rRNA". It matches the Rfam family "Bacterial small subunit ribosomal RNA". The record is from RNAcentral.